This is an unclassified non-coding RNA of Pongo abelii (Sumatran orangutan), 148 nucleotides long. It matches the Rfam family "Metazoan signal recognition particle RNA". Rfam says of the family: The signal recognition particle (SRP) is a universally conserved ribonucleoprotein. It is involved in the co-translational targeting of proteins to membranes. The record is from Ensembl. NCBI's taxonomy places the organism in Eukaryota, Metazoa, Chordata, Mammalia, Primates, Hominidae.
GCCAGGUGUGCUGGCGCACGCCUGUAAUUCCAGCUACUCAGGAGGCUGAGGUGGGAGGAUUGUUCUAGCCCAGGAGGUGGAGGCUGCAGUGAGCCGAGAUCGUGCCACUGCACUCCAGCCUGGGCAACAGAGCGAGACUCUGUCUCAA